GACGAACGCUGGCGGCGUGCUUAACACAUGCAAGUCGAACGGAAAGGCCCUGCUUUUGUGGGGUGCUCGAGUGCCGAAGGCGUGCGUAACACGAGAGUAACCUGCCCUUGUCUUUGGGAUAACUUCAGGAAACUGGGGCUAAUAUAGGAUAGCAGCUCCUGCUGCAUGGUGGGGGUUGGAAAGUUUCGGCCGUUGGGGAUGGACGGGCGGCUUUUGAGCUUGUUGGUUGGGGAGUGGCAUACCAAGUCUUUGACGGAUAGGCGGCAUGAGAGCGUGACCGGGGACAAGAGUACUGAGGGAGGCAGCAGAGUGGAAUGGUAGGCAGCGGGGGCGAAUAUUGCACAAUGAGCGCGAGUGGGAUGAAGCGACGCCGCGGGCGGGAAGACGGCCUUCGGGUUAAAAACAGCUUUCGCCUGAGACGAAGCGGUAGUGACGGUAAUGGGUAAAGAAGCACCGGCUAACUACGUG
RNAcentral lists this ribosomal RNA (468 nucleotides) under uncultured bacterium. Its description in RNAcentral is "partial 16S ribosomal RNA". It matches the Rfam family "Bacterial small subunit ribosomal RNA", at positions 28 to 507 of the family's 1533-position model. The record is from RNAcentral.